Blastosporella zonata is the source of this 102-nucleotide non-coding RNA. The record is from the annotation of a GenBank genome assembly. NCBI's taxonomy places the organism in Eukaryota, Fungi, Basidiomycota, Agaricomycetes, Agaricales, Lyophyllaceae.
GGGCACAUGGUGUAGUUGGUUAUCACGCCCGCUUAGCAUAAUAUCCCUCUCGAGGGCUGCUAAUUCUGCGGGCGGUCCCCGGUUCAAUUCCGGGUGUGUCCA